UCUUUCAUAAACAGUACACUAAUACUGUUACUUUAUAUUUUUUUAAAAAAUAAGACUUGUAAAUUGAAACCAUAAUCAGUAUAAUAGUACUUUUUUUAAUCCUUUACAAUAAAUGAAGCAAAGUAGCCUAUAUCAAAAGAAUGACCCACCAUUCUGGAACAUUCAUUUGCAGAGAACUUUUUAUUUUUCCAUAGAAGUGAAUAGCCAAAUUCUCAUUCUUCACUUUUCUUCUAAAAAACAAACAAACAAAUCUCUUCAUUAUUUCUCAAAUGUUUUUUUUUGAAGGAUAUAGAAGAGACUCUCUUUGCACUGAUCUAUUCUACCUUGAAAAUUGAUCUUGUUAUGCUACUUUUUCUUCUUCUACUACCUUUUAUUUUGAAAAAUUAUUGAAAGAAAAUCUCCCUAUUCUUUAAUAGAAAAAAAAUUAUGGAUCCGUAGCGUAAUGGUAGAGCGUCUGAUAGAUCGGAAGGCUGUUAGUCCAAUUUUUGUUGGGUCCAUAAUCUCGAUCUACAUUCGGUUAUGCUAUCUUUUUAACAGGUAUGUUCAUUUUCAAUAAUACGAAGAUUUAAACUUAAACUCGACACCAAAAUCAUGCAAAACAGAGCAAUUUAACUUGGCUCUGAUGCCAUUGAAAGAAAAAUACGGAGCCAAAUAGUGUACCUUGGUAAAUUUUACAGCGGAUGAAACUGACUUUUCUACCGAAAGAAUCUGUCCAAGUCUUCUUUGAAUCUCUUAGAAGCAGAGCUUGAAUCACAAACUAAAUGCUCUCGUUUUGGUGUUAUCGUUAAUUUCGAUUCUUUAUUUUAUGAACCAAUUUUCUCUGUGUUCUCUGUAUUUUUCUUGUCAGAAGAAAAGGAGGUACGUAUUGCAAAUUUUGGGAUGGGAACAGUUACUUUUUAAUCGUUCUCCCUUUUUCUUUUGAAUUAAUCUCAAUCUGACUAAGAAACAGGUCGGUUUGGUUCAGUUCGGUUCAGUUCGGGUCGGGUCAGAUCGGGUCGGGUCGGUCCACAUGGGUGACCCAUGACCCAUAAUCUAAUAGAAAACAAGUUGUUUUCUUAUUUAUUUGUUGAAAAAUAUUUUCAAGUGUUUGAUUGGUGAAUGAAAAAUAUUUUUCAGAAUAUACAUUUUAAUAUUUAGCGAAAGAGUAGAAAAUACUUUUUAGAUAAUUUUGACCCCGAAAAAUACUUUUUUUAGGGUGUGUUUGGUAUGGAGGAGAAAAAUAUUUUCUUGAAAAAUAAGUUGUUUUUUACUUAUAUUCUUGUGUUCGUUAAACAAGUAGGAAAAUAUUUUCUAAAAGUAUUUGUAUAUAUUUAACAAAAAUGAUAAGAAUGAAUAAGGUAAGAAGGAUGGGGUAAGAAAAAGAUUUUGAAAUUUAUUUUAAUCAAUAAAUUAAAAAAUUAAAUCUUUAUUAUGGAGGGAGAGGGCUGGUUGGGGGGAGGGGGAGGUGCGGCUAGUCUGAGGUGGGGGUCGGGGGGGGAGGGGGAGGGAAGAAAAAAUUAAAACUUUUUUACAAAAUAAAUUUAAAAAAAUUAUUUUUUUCAAGGGUGGGGGCCUGGUAGGGGUAGGGGUAGGGGUGUCGGGUGGGUGGUGGGGUAAGAAAAAAUUUGAUUUUUUUUUAAACAAAUAAAUAAUUUUUCUGGAGGGGGAUGGGGUUAGGGGAUGAGGUAAUAAAAAAAGUUGAAAUAAUUUUUUUGGAUGGGGUGGUAAGGGAUUGAUGGUCGGAGCAGGGGUGAGUGAUUUUGAGAGUUGUGUGAACAUUUCAAUUUGAGGGUGAGCUUGAAAGAGAGUCUUGAAAAUAUUUUUUCUACUUUUUGAAUGAAAAUCAUUUUCCUUAAAUUGAGGAAAAUAAGUUGACCCCCUAUCCGACUCACACUUAUUCCAUCUUUUUUCCCUUAGCAGAAUCCACAUAACUCUCAUAUAUACACCUCCAUUUUUCAAUUUAGAAAAACACACAUAUAGAAAAGGGAGGAGGAAGAUCACUAGAAUACAAUAGACACACACCUCACAAUACACCACUCCUCCGUCGUCACUGCCAUACAUACACACAAAAUGCUCAUACCUUAAUAAAACACACACACAGACGCCUCUCCUACACUUUCAUAUGCACACGACAUCAUCAAAAAACAUAUACCUCAUCAUCAAACGCACACACACAGAACUGCUAAACUCACAAACACAGAGAAAUUAGAGAGAGAGAUCGAUGGAGAAAAGAGAAAAUAGAGGACAAGCAGAAAACAUAUAUAUAGAGAGAGAAAUCACGUGGGGAGGGAGUUAUGAUUUUCUGGCUAAAUUUCACCAAAAAUGUAUCUCCACCGACAAAACAAUCCCACUGGCGAAGCAAUCCCACUAGGAAACACCAGAACCACCUUCAUCACCCACCCAAAAUUCAUAAAGCAGUGACCAAUAUCAGCGCAGAAGUCCAUGAGAUGCUCGAAAUUUCACCGGAGAUGUGCCAAAAAUGAUCAAAAUAUCCUAAACAUCGGGAAAACAAUGAGUUUAUCUUUGGGAUUUUGGGAAUUGAGUUCGAGGUCUGUUCGUGGUUCAUGGGUUCACGAGGCUCCCGUCGCUAUUAGAAUUGGUUCAAGUUGAUUGAAUAAAAGUAACAUUGAGGUUCAAUUCUAUCUUCUCUCCUCUUAUUUUUUAUAAGAUUGUGAAUGAUUUGUGUAUUUGGCAUGUUUAAAUCUUUGUUGUGUGUUGGUUGAUGUUGGAUUUGGAUAUGAAAACUUGGAUUGGUAGUCGAAAAAUUGGUUAAUUAUUUUGAGAAUGAAUUCAGGGAGAGGUUGAAAAUUGAUAAAAGUGAAUAUUGAUCUAUUUUGAUUCAUUGAUGGUUGUCUAAUUUGAAAUGGAUUUUAAUUUUUAUCGAACAUGAUAGUUUCAUAUUUUAGGUCGAGGAUCGACAAGAAAAUCUUAGGUCUUGGGUAGGCAACUCGUAGGAUUCUAUAUCAUCGAAUGCGUAUGUGUCUAUGUUGAGUGAUUUCUCUACUUUUACCGCAUUUCAUAAAAAAUGUAUUCAUUAGUCGGGGAAUGCCCCGAGGCCACAUUGCACUUAUUUACCGGAGAAUGCUCCGAAGUAUUAUGUACGUAAAGGAGGUUUGUGAUCAAGGCCCGAGGAGUCGGGUGGAGCUUAGUAUAGGAUCAGUUUAGAAUAGGAUUUACAUUUCUGUAUUUAUCUAUUUUUGGGACUGUAUAAUUCAGACUGGACAUUAUUUUGAUUUUGAACUUUGUUUGAUUUGUUUGUUUUCUUGUUUUAUGUGUUUUUUGGUUUUAUAUAUUUCAUAGUGUCAUAUUAGUCGAUAUACUCCACGAAGCGAUCAUGGUCGAACUAUGGGAUCGAGGGGUGCCUAAUACCUUUCCUUCGAUCAACGAAAUUUCUUAACUGAAAUCUCUAUUCGUGGAUCAAUUUUGAAAGAUUCAAAAAUUAUUUUUAAAAAGGAUUUUCAAAGUGACUUGGCAUACCAGAUUAUGCCAAGUGGCGACUCUAAAUUUUAUUUGUUAAAUAUCUUUUUCGUAAUAAAUUAUUUUCUUUUGUCACUUAAUAAUAAAACCCUUUCAAAUCUAAAAUUAUAUUCUUUUUGGUAUAAGAGGGGUGUGACAAUACGGACAAGUUUUUGUGAUUUACAAGUAAAGACUAAUUGCAUAUGAAUAAGUAGGUUUCUCUUUGAACUUUUCGUAGUGAACUUAUAUUGGAUGCACUUGGUCAAUCAGUAGAUGCGAUAUCUUUAAACCGUCGAACUUUGGUGUACACCUAGACAAUAUAAGUCACACAACCAACCAUUUAACAUUUAUGAUCCUCACAAUUUUAUUCGUUUCUAUCAUGAACACUAUCUAAUUUCUUGAGAGCUUAGAUAAUAGACCUUUACUAUCACUCCUUAAAUUAGUUUCCACUUCACCCUCUCAUAAUGAUUCCUAAGCAUUUAAUCCUAUAGAUUAAACUAUUUGAUCAACUUGUUAAACUUAUAAGCUAUAAAAAAGCUUUAAUCUAUAAGCCUUAUCCUUAUUUUUUGAAUAUUAUUUUCAUCAUGAGAUAGACAAUGUUGAACAGUCAGUCAUCACUUUAUUUAAUCUCCUUUAACUUAGCUUUAGGAAUCUCUAGUCUUCUAGAUAGAGUUACUGCCGCGAUGACUUGUCUUAGGCCAUAAACCCAUUUUUCUUGAUGAUCUCUCAACUCCCUCUCUAGUUAGGCCUUUUGUAAAUGGAUUUGACACAUUACCCUUUGGCUUUAUAUAGUCAGUUGUGAUAAUUCUACUAGAGAGUAGUUCUUUAACGAUGUUAUGUUUUUAUCUUAUAUGACGAGAUUUACCAUUAUACAUCAUAUUCUCUAUCCUACCUAUUAUAGCUUGACAAUCACAAUAUAUGCAUAUUGGUACCAAAGGUUUGGUCCAAUAAGGAAUAUCUUUUAAGAAAUUCCAAAGCCAUUCAGCUUCUUUACCAACCAUAUCUAAAGAGAUAAAUUUUGAUUCCGUUGUAGUAAAAGCAAUACAUUUCUAUUUGGAUGAUUUUCGAGAGACUUCUCCUCCACCAAGAGUAAAUACAUAUCCAUUGGAUUUUACUUUAUUUGGCCCGGUAAUUCAAUUUGCACCAUUAUAUCCUUUAAUUACUGUUGGAUAUUUGUUAUAAUGUAAAUCAUAGUUUUGAGUAUGUUUUAGAUACUCCUAAACUCUUUUCAUUUCCAUCUAAUGAGUUUGAUUGAAAUUGCUUGUGUACCGACUCAAUUUACUAACAGCACAUGCUAUACCUGAUUGCAUAUGAUUCAUGAUGUACAUCAAAGUUUUCAACACUUGCAUAGUCCAAUUGUAAGUCACUUUCACCUUCAUUCCUUUGAAGUGCGAAGUUUACAUCUUUUGGCAUCUUGGCAAUAUUAAAAUUCAAAUACUUAAAUUUGUCAAGUACAUUUUCAAUGUAAUGAGACUAUGACAAUGCUAAAUCUUGUGGAGUUCUAUAAAUUCUUAUCUAUGCUAAAUGGUCAAGACAAUAAACCACUGAUAGUGCAACCAACAUUCAAAGGGUCAUUAUCUUUAUUACUGAUGAGUAUAUAUCAAAAUAGACAAGAUCAUCUUUUUUUCUAAAGCUUUUAACAAAAAGUCUUGCCUUGUACUGUUAAUAGUAACGAGUAUGUGUCAAAAUAGACAAGACCUUCAUUUUUUCUAAAGCCUUUAACGAAAAGUUUUGCCUUGUGUUGUUAAUAGUUCCAUCAAAUUUUAUUUUCAUUUUAAAUAAUUAUUUUGAACCUAAAGGUUUAUUUCCUAGAGGAAGAUCUUCUAACUCCCACAUAUGGUUGUUCAAGAUUGAAUUAAUCUCACUGUUGAUAGUCUUUUCCAAAAGGAUGAGUUCAUAGAAUUUGAAUGUUUAACGCUCAUUUUUAAGAAGAAAUAUA
Molecule: long non-coding RNA, 5374 nt
Filed under: Capsicum annuum
Lineage: Eukaryota; Viridiplantae; Streptophyta; Magnoliopsida; Solanales; Solanaceae
Description: long non-coding RNA (CANN_LNC018573)
Source: RNAcentral